CCGUGUUUCCUCCUCCCUCUCUCUCAUUAUCAUCCUCAGCCUCCACAUUGACCUCAGCAGUGACCCCUCCCCCCUCCUUCCCCCGUCCUCACUUCACCUCAGGGUCAGUGCGCCCCCCGUCCCUGUGGUCCCUCAGACUCCUCCCCUCUCCCCUGAGUCUCCUCCCCCCCUCCGUCAGUCAGUGUGGAUCAGUUUGAUCAGGUCUUCAGGAGACUCAGCUGGAUCCUGAUCUCUGAGAGUCUGAGUCUGUCCUCACUGAGGAGAAAGGAUCAACCAGAAGGACGAGAGGAAGAAAAGAAGGAGGAAAAGAGGAUUUAAAGAAGAAGAGGAACAGGAGAAACAGAAGAAGAAGAGUGAUUAUUUCUGUGUGAUGUUUCUGAUGGUUUGGAUUUAAAGAUGAAGAUGAUGUGGAGCUGGACGACGCUGCUGCUGCUGAUCUGCUGCUCAGUGAAAUGAUCCUUCAUCAUCAUCAUCAUCAUCAUCAUCAUCAUCAUCACCAUCAUCACCAUCACCACCUUCAUCAUUCAUCCUCUGACUCAGUGUGGGCGGAGCCUCAGAGCUGGCCUUCCUCAAAGAACCCGCUGAUGUCAUCGCAGUGAGGGACCGCCCCCUGCUGCUGGACUGUCAGGUAGAGGGGGAGGGGCCUAUCUCCAUC
Lates calcarifer (barramundi perch) is the source of this 655-nucleotide long non-coding RNA. RefSeq lists it as uncharacterized. The record is from RefSeq and is a predicted model, not a curated record. The transcript has 3 exons. NCBI's taxonomy places the organism in Eukaryota, Metazoa, Chordata, Actinopteri, Centropomidae.